RNAcentral lists this transfer-messenger RNA (349 nucleotides) under Calidithermus chliarophilus. RNAcentral describes it as "Standard tmRNA". It matches the Rfam family "transfer-messenger RNA". Rfam says of the family: Bacterial tmRNA, also known as 10Sa RNA or SsrA, is named for its dual tRNA and mRNA-like properties. Its role is to liberate the mRNA from a stalled ribosome. The record is from RNAcentral. RNAcentral also lists the same sequence under 1 other name. Lineage: Bacteria; Thermotogati; Deinococcota; Deinococci; Thermales; Thermaceae.
GGGCGCGUCCCGGCUUCGACGGGGAUUCGCGAAAGCAAGGCUGCGUGUCGAGGUGGCCGGUGGCCUCGUAAAAACCGGCAAAGCCAUAACUGGCAACAGCAACGCUUACUCCCUCGCUGCUUAAGUCAGCGACGUUCCCGGCAAGCCCCGCCGUUGGCUCGGCCGGCGAACGACCUAAAAACGGCUAGCCCAAGGCAAGGCACCGUAGCCGCGGGCGAAGCUUAACGGAGCUCGGCCCCAGGCCCCUGUCGGCGGGGAAACCCGGGGCGACACCCAAACACCGACUACACACGUAGACGCCUGCCGUAGGGGUCUUCGGACGAGGGUUCGACUCCCUCCGCGUCCACCA